AUUAUAGUUGAGGAUCUGAAUCAACCUCGUCAAAUGCUUGUGGAGAUGCUUUGCGAGGAACGGGGCUUAUUUUUGGAAAUAGCUGACAUUAUAAGAGGUUUGGGCUUGACAAUCCUGAAGGGUGUGAUGGAAACAAGGAACGACAAAAUAUGGGCACAAUUUGCUGUAGAGGCAAACAGAGAUGUCACAAGGAUGGAGAUAUUCAUCUCACUUGUUCGCCUCUUGGAGCAAACAUCAAAAGGCGCAGAGGAAUCUGCUAAGGCCAUUGAUAACAACACAGCAAUGGUGCAUUCGUAUCAUCAAGCAGCGUCCAUACCUGCAACAGGUAGUAGACCCUGUAAUUAACAAUGCUCAACACUCGAGAGA
RNAcentral lists this unclassified non-coding RNA (366 nucleotides) under Hevea brasiliensis (rubber tree). The record is from RNAcentral. Lineage: Eukaryota; Viridiplantae; Streptophyta; Magnoliopsida; Malpighiales; Euphorbiaceae.